RNAcentral lists this ribosomal RNA (433 nucleotides) under uncultured bacterium. RNAcentral's name for it is "partial 16S ribosomal RNA". It matches the Rfam family "Bacterial small subunit ribosomal RNA", at positions 29 to 507 of the family's 1533-position model. The record is from RNAcentral.
AACGCACGCUGGCGGCAUGCCUAACACAUGCAAGUCGAACGAGACCUUCGGGUCUAGUGGCGCACGGGUGCGUAACGCGUGGGAACCUGCCUUUAGGUUCGGAAUACCUCAGAGAAAUUUGAGCUCAUACCGGAUGAUGUCUUUGGACCAAAGGUUUAUCGCCUUUAGAUGGGCCCGCGUUGGAUUAGCUAGUUGGUGGGGUAAAGGCCUACCAAGGCGACGAUCCAUAGCUGGUCUGAGAGGAUGAUCAGCCACACUGGGACUGAGACACGGCCCAGACUCCUACGGGAGGCAGCAGUGGGGAAUAUUGGACAAUGGGCGAAAGCCUGAUCCAGCAAUGCCGCGUGAGUGAUGAAGGCCUUAGGGUUGUAAAUCUCUUUUACCCGAGAUGAUAAUGACAGUAUCGGGAGAAUAAGCUCCGGCUAACUCCGUG